Molecule: non-coding RNA, 419 nt
Organism: Paramuricea clavata
Lineage: Eukaryota; Metazoa; Cnidaria; Anthozoa; Malacalcyonacea; Plexauridae
Source: the annotation of a GenBank genome assembly
AAAAGCAGAAUCCUUGCACUUUUUGUGAGAAAGGCUAAUUAAACUCAAGUAGGUGCUACCAGAUAAAAAUGCUAUGAAAUUCACUCGUCAAAGAUAAAAGUUUUGUUAUGUAAAUAUACAAUACCUUUUAAAGAAUAGUUCUUGAGUUCAGAAAAAUAUACCACGCUGAAACUAAAUUUAUAGAGGCAAAAUAUAUUGUACCGACAUGAAAAUGUACAAUACUGUAUUGGGCUAUUGCACUUAAUAUGCGCACCCCCCCUGUUGAGGACCUCGGAAUUCUUCGGGGUUAGUCGAAUAUUUCACGCGGAAUUCUUCGGGGUUUGUCGAAGAUUUCACCGGAAUUCUUCGGGGUUUGUCGAACAUUUCACCGGAAUUCUUCGGGGUAGUCGAACAUUUCACCCGGAAUUCUUCGGGGUUAU